GUCUGCUUCAUGUUUGAGUCUCCUACCCAAACCUGUCAUCCUCUUGAUCCCAGUUGAAGAUUCAUUCUCCUUAGGCAGACUUUUCUAUUUCACGUCCUCCUGCAAGCCUGGUCAACUCUGUACUCACAGAACUUGGAAUUUUUUCCGCAGCAUUUAUGACUACUUGUAAUUAUAUAUUUAUUUGAGUAAAUAUCUUGACAAUGGCUGUCUGCUCCAUUAGCCCAUAAACCCCACAAGAGGAGGGAUUGUGUCUGUCUUGCACACUAUGUACCUCCAAUGCUGAGCCUGGUGGCUACACAUGGGAGGCACACAAUAUACAUGUAUUAAAUCAGUGAUUAGGUUUUCUCUCUCCUUAUAGUUUUAAGUAUCAGGCGUCCUUGUUUCCAGGAGAUAUGGUGCUGCACCCAGGCAGUGAAGACAACACCUUGUGAGGAAGUGGGGGAGAUGAAGAGACUGCUGUCAUCCCAUCUUUGCUGGGUACCAAGAUUUAUCAGGCUAACUGGGACAAAGACGUUUUCUAGUUGGAGGUAUUCUCAUCACACAAUGCUGCAGUGUGCUCAAGUGGAAGGACCUUUCCAGAGAAGCAAGUCUAAAAAGAGUAAUUCAUAUUAUGAAUUCUUUAAAAUUGUUCUUCUUUCUUACCUUCCUAAGUACAUGACCUUUAUCAUAAGAUGCCCCCAGAAGAUUAGAUAUUGUGACAGAGAGAAUGUAAAAAGAAUUACCAAGGUAGUAAUCAGCCUAGCAAUCACAAUUUAGGUAGCAGGAUAAUAGCUUUGCACCCAAGGCUACUGUCUUGAGAGAUGGUUUUCCAAAUUCUUUUGUCUGUCUCCCUAGGUAUCAGCAUUUAAGCCUGAAGGACCUGGCUCAGAGAGUGCUUCCAUGGGAUGGAGAAGAGACUCUUGUCACUAUGGGAGCCAGCUGCACUCUGUGCAAGAAGAAGUGGAGCAGAAGCAAAAGACAAGCCCUCCACUUUCUAAUCCAGGGAAUAGCAGGAGGCAGAAAGAGCAUAUGGAGGUGGCACAAAGCUGUUGGUCUAGCUGGUUACCUCCCAGGGGACUUAGGAGGGCCAUGUAUUAGGUAAGUCUAAGAGAGCCAAGAAGACUAGAGGCUUGUUCUGCAACUUAUUGAAGAGUAGGAGGAGGAGGCUAAUUCCCAGGCUGUCCAUACUAAGCUGGGAGGCUGACUGCCUUCUCACCCCAAUGGCCUGGCACGGUCAGGCAGAGGCAGGC
RNAcentral lists this long non-coding RNA (1229 nucleotides) under Vulpes vulpes (red fox). RNAcentral describes it as "lncRNA (ENSVVUG00000025171.1)". The record is from RNAcentral. Lineage: Eukaryota; Metazoa; Chordata; Mammalia; Carnivora; Canidae.